UGCGGGAACACCGGCGGCUCUAGUGGUAGCAAUUUUAUUGGGCCUAAAGCGUCCGUAGCCGGUUUAAUAAGUCUCUAGGUGAAAUCCUGCAGCUUAACUGUGGGAAUUGCUGGAGAUACUAUUAGACUUGAGACCGGGAGAGGUUAGAGGUACUCCCAGGGUAGAGGUGAAAUUCGUGUAAUCCUGGGAGGACCGCCUGUUGCGAAGGCGUCUAACUGGAACGGUUCUGACGGUGAGGGACGAAAGUUAGGGGCGCGAACCGGAUUAGAUACCCGGGUAGUCCUAACUGUAAACGAUGCGGACUUGGUGUUGGGUGGCUUUGAGCUGCUUCAGUGCCGAAGGGAAGCUGUUAAGUCCGCCGCCUGGGGAAGUACGGUCGCAAGACUGAAACUUAAGGAAUUGGCGGGGGAGCACCACAACGCGUGGAGCCUGCCGGUUUAAUUGGAUUCAACGCCGGACAUCUCACCAGAGGCGACAGCUGUAUGAUAGCCAGGUUGAUGACUUUGCUUGACUAGCUGAGUGGAGGUGCAUGG
Molecule: ribosomal RNA, 533 nt
Filed under: uncultured archaeon
Lineage: Archaea
Description: bacterial SSU rRNA
Rfam family: Archaeal small subunit ribosomal RNA
Source: RNAcentral